UAUAUACUUGUCUAUGCCACAGUAAGUUGCCGUGUGGGUGCGCGCGCAGACCCGAGACUCGCACAAUAAUAAUAAUAAUAAUAAAUGCAAUAUACAAUACUAUAUAGUUGGCGGUGUGGGAGCGAGAGAGCGUUCGGUGCGUGCGUGCGCGUGUACUUUUCUGUUCGUUAUUAUUAUUAUUAUUAUUAUUAAUUCUCCCAGUUCGGUUUACGUUUUUUUUUUACUCGUUACUUGUUAGUCGUUUCGUACUUUUGUCAGUUAACAGUUUCUUCGUCCCGUCGUACUAUUUUUUUGCUCCUCGUAUCUUUCGUUUUUUUCGACGCAGUCACUGAAAUGAUCGCAUGAUAAUAAUCCCCAAUUACACCCCACGAUGUCGGCAGCGAACGGAACCGGACAGAACAUCCAGAACAACAAUAACUGCGAUCUCGAGGAGGAACUUGUGAAAACGCAAAGUGUUUCAAGUUUGGAAUCCGAGUUGUCAAAUUUUAAUAUUUAUUUGGAAAAAAUAUAUUCUUCUGAUUCAGAUGUAUUAUUAGCUAUUAAGAAAUUAAACGUAUCAAUUAAAUACUUAGAAAAUCUAUCGGAUGUAAAUUUAUUGGAAAAAAAUGAUAUAUUGGUCACCACCCUGUUUGAAGAACUUGCAGUCAAGCGUCCAUGUUUCAAAAUUCUUGGGCGUCCAGCUUUGUUGGAAUUGGCUGAAAGCCCUAAAGGUUUACAGGGCAUUAAUCGCCAUCGUUAUUGCAAUGCACUUGUUGGCGCUAUUGUCAGUGUUACAGGAAUUCAAAAGAGAGAUGAAAUGGCACGUCUUCUGAGUUUGAUCCGUUGGAUGGGUGGUAGUUUUCGAGAAAGUAUUAAUUACAAAACUACUCAUUUAGUGUCUGGUUAUGCAUGUAGUGCUAAAUCCCAAUAUGCAUAUUUACAUGAAAUUCCAGUUAUUGGAUCUUCGUGGCUACAUGCAGCAUGGGAGAGACGCGAUGAAAUGGAAUUCAAAGCAAUCAAUUCAUCAUUUUUUUCAGAACACAAGCUAAAACCAUUCCAUGGAGCCAAAAUAUGUUUUUCAGGGUUCACGGAAGAAGAACGAUCACAUAUGGUUGACGUUUUGUUACAAAAUGGAGGGACUCCAAUAGAGGAUGAAAAUGAUUCAGAAAUCACUCAUCUGGUUACAAAGGAAGGUUCUAGUCCUUUAGGCGACCGAGAUCCAAAUACAGCACCGUGUUUACGAGGUGUUUUGGCUCCUAAAAAUCUAAUUCAAGCAUUUGAUAAAGAUGAUUCAAGUCCUAAUACUCGAAAUGGGGGGUUAAAAAGAACACUGAGUGUGGUAGAUGGUGGAAAUGUGUCUCAUGAAACCAAGAAGAUUCGCCUUCAAUUUUUAGACAUGGAUUGCGAUGAGUUUUUGUUUAAACAUCCUAAUCCUAUGUCAGCAUGUUUGGAUCAAACCGAUCAAACUUCGGUUGUUAAUGAAUCUUCAUUAGAUUCAAUUCCUCCUGUCAAGAAGAAUAAUGCUGAAAUUCUGAAAGAAGCAUGGUUCUGGACAUCUGUGCAAUAUCAGAGUUGCGCCUUAACAAAAGAAUAUUUAUUAACCAAUUUAAAUGUAUCCAACACACCUACAUCUGCUCGUGUAAUGUCAUCUACGUUAACACUAAGUUCUUCUUCUCGGGCUCGCAAAAGAAAAAGGCAUUUAGACCGUUUGGGUUCUUUGCUAAGACCUAGUCCAACACCUGUAGCAACUAUUGGAGAAACAUCACCGACCAAUAGUUCAGGGCCAUCAAAACGACGGUCAUCAGCUGCCAACACCCUUGAUGGCCUAAGGUUGUCGUGUGGAUCAUUUUUAAAUUUCACAAACAGCCCAGAUCAUCCAUCACCUUUUAAGCUCCCAAAAGAUCAAGAUAUAGUUAUAAAAGAUAAACCAUUUAGUCCACGAUAUCAAGUUUUCUCUGAAUUAUUACAGACUGAGAUUAACUAUGUGGGAGUGUUAAAGACAAUAAUUACUGUGUACAAAGAACCAUUAGAAGAAAUGAUAGACAAAGAAGACUGUUUGCUUAAUAAUACUGAAAUAAAAAUUAUUUUUGGAAAUGUUUUACCUAUUUAUCAAGUGCAUCAAGAAAUGUUAGAAGAGCUCAAAUGCCUUGCUACAUCAUGGCAAGAAGAUAGUAGUAUAGGCAGUGUUUUUCUCAAAUAUUCCAGUGAAUUAGUGAAAGCUUAUCCACCGUUUGUGAAUUUUUUUGAAAAAACAAGGGAGAUGUUAUUGCAGUGUGAUCAAACAAAACCUCGUUUUCAUGCUUUCCUCAAGGUCGGUCAGACAAGGCCCGAAUGUUGUCGACAGAGUCUACAAGAACUUCUCAUUCGACCUGUGCAACGCUUGCCCAGCGUUAGCCUUCUGUUAAAUGAUAUAUUGAAACAUUCUGACAAGAAUAACCCUGAUCACCAAGCUCUAGUAUCAGCCCUAGCCAGUAUACGAGAAGUAAUGACUCAUAUAAAUGAAGAUAAAAGAAAGACUGAAGGUCAAGUUGUACUUUUUGAUAUAUUUAAUGAUAUCGAUAAUUGUCCUCCUCAUUUAGUUUCUUCACAUCGAAGUUUUAUCACAAAAUGUGAUGUAGUUGAGCUAAGUGAUAACCUUAGUGGUCGUGGGGAUCAUCUAACAAUAUUUGUUUUUUCAGAUGUUGUUGAAGUUUGUAAAAAAAGAAAAUCUUUUAAUGGAAAAAGUCCAAAAGAACUGAAUUCUGGUUCACACAAAUUAAAUGGCGGUGCCAAAUCAUAUAAACAUAUCAAAUUGAUGCCAUUAAAUAUAAUUAAACAAGUUAUAGAUAUUAGAGAGACUGAAGACUGUCGUAAUACAUUUUCGUUAAUGAUUAUUGACAAUCAUGACUUUAAAGAACGAUUGUAUACGUUUACUAUGACUGGUAGUAAUAGCAGUGCUAAUCAUAAAAAUAUAUUCUUAAAAAAUAUAUCGCAACAAGUGGCCAACACCGUGUGUUCUGGCAAUAUAUUAGUAUCAUUGGAUUCUCAGCAAUUGGACAUUGAUACAAGUGAAAUUACUACUGGUACUCUUGGGAAAGCUUUCAAGUUUGCAAGCAGAACACGCAUUAAAGUUGGACGAGCAUUGAGCUUUAAUAAAACUCCCAGCAAGUUAAAACGAGCAGUGUCUACAAUGAUGAGUCCUGUUCUCAGCUUGACUAACAAUGGAGGGCUGGGUACACACGCCCUAACACCGUCCACACAAUUAGCCAAUAUGCACUUAGCAUCGUGCACCAAUUUAAAUGUGAGCCCAUUAAAAGAGCAUAACAGUAGACAUAGUUGUUCACUAACGAAAGUCAAGAAACAUGUCAAACGCAAUUCUAAAUUGCGAAUGUCUAGUUAAAUUUUCAGUCGGCGAUCAUUUGGAGAAGAUAACAUGUGUAGUCUUUUGCUUUAUAAAAAAUUAAUUAAAAAUCUUACCUUAUUGGAUCUCAAUAAAAUAAAUAAGGAAAUGUCAUCAGAUGACCAUACGUUUCCAUCGCCACCAAUGUCAGUUCAGCCAAGCAGAAAAAAUAAAACGUCGAUGUUAAGUCUAUCGUCGGCGCCCAGGUAGCGUCCAACGGCCUAUCGAUACCUGGUAAACACUUUUCGAAACUCGAAAAAUGUUGUUUCAAUUUUAAGCCAUCAGUAUCGAUAGCUAUAUUAUAUUAUUAUAAUAAUUAUGUUUUCAAACUCAAUUUUAAAUUUUUUUAAAUUAAUUAUUUUAUUAUUACCUUUUUUGUUAGUAUUUAAGAUUUGUAUAAUUAUGUUGUUUUCAACUUUUCUCAAGACAUUCUUGCCUCAAAAUUUUCUUAUCCUAUACUUCAUUGUCAACAAUCGUUCAUUUCAUAAAUUCCAUUUCUACAAAAUUAAAUGUUUACCAUACAUGUUUACUUGGUUUCAUACUGAGUAUAUUAAAGUUACCAUGGUAUAUACUUUUGUAGUCUUAAUUUAUAUAUUUACAUAAAUUAUAUGUAAACAAUUUUAUUUUUUAAAUCAUGGAACAAUUAAAAAUAACAUUUAAAAUGGUGCUCAAAUAUUUGAUCAUAAACUACUUUAAGCUCAAACAAUAAUUUUUUAUGUAUACUAUGUGUGUUUUAGGAAUUAUAUAUUUUUAUAUAUUUUUAAAUUUAUUGUGUAAGUGUAAAUAUGACGAUUCAGUUUUGUGAUGUAUUAGAAAAAUGUAUGAAAUCAAAAUUAAAAUAAUUUGACGUAUGAAUUACAUUUUAUGUGUAAAAUAAUAAUAUAAAUAUUUAAUCUAU
RNAcentral lists this unclassified non-coding RNA (4256 nucleotides) under Acyrthosiphon pisum (pea aphid). RNAcentral describes it as "protein ECT2, transcript variant X3". Lineage: Eukaryota; Metazoa; Arthropoda; Insecta; Hemiptera; Aphididae. The record is from RNAcentral.